RNAcentral lists this small nuclear RNA (66 nucleotides) under Saimiri boliviensis boliviensis (Bolivian squirrel monkey). Its description in RNAcentral is "U7 small nuclear RNA (ENSSBOG00000013499.1)". It matches the Rfam family "U7 small nuclear RNA". From Rfam's summary of the family: Animal histone pre-mRNAs are spliced by a different mechanism than nuclear pre-mRNAs and self-splicing introns. This processing involves the U7 snRNP, which contains only one RNA species: U7. The record is from Rfam by way of RNAcentral. Lineage: Eukaryota; Metazoa; Chordata; Mammalia; Primates; Cebidae.
AUGUGUUACAGCUCUUUUACAAUUUGUCUAGUAGAUUUUUCCAGCUAAACCCCAAGGAAAAACAAA